This 474-nucleotide ribosomal RNA is filed under the name uncultured organism. RNAcentral describes it as "partial 16S ribosomal RNA". It matches the Rfam family "Bacterial small subunit ribosomal RNA", at positions 333 to 798 of the family's 1533-position model. The record is from RNAcentral.
ACACUCCUACGGGAGGCAGCAGUGGGGAAUUUUGGACAAUGGGCGAAAGCCUGAUCCAGCAAUGCCGCGUGAGUGAAGAAGGCCUUCGGGUUGUAAAGCUCUUUUGUCAGGGAAGAAACGGUGAGAGCUAAUAUCUCUGGCUAAUGACGGUACCUGAAGAAUAAGCACCGGCUAACUACGUGCCAGCAGCCGCGGUAAUACGUAGGGUGCAAGCGUUAAUCGGAAUUACUGGGCGUAAAGCGUGCGCAGGCGGUUUUGUAAGUCUGAUGUGAAAUCCCCGGGCUCAACCUGGGAAUUGCAUUGGAGGCUGCAAGGCUAGAAUCUGGCAGAGGGGGGUAGAAUUCCACGUGUAGCAGUGAAAUGCGUAGAUAUGUGGAGGAACACCGAUGACGAAGGCAGCCCCCUGGGUCAAGAUUGACGCUCAUGCACGAAAGCGUGGGGAGCAAACAGGAUUAGAAACCCCUGUAGUCCCAU